This 407-nucleotide ribosomal RNA is filed under the name uncultured bacterium. RNAcentral describes it as "partial 16S ribosomal RNA". It matches the Rfam family "Bacterial small subunit ribosomal RNA", at positions 30 to 526 of the family's 1533-position model. The record is from RNAcentral.
AUUGAACGCUGGCGGCAGGCCUAACACAUGCAAGUCGAGCGGAGCGACCGGCGGGCGGGUGAUUCCUACGUAUCUGCCUGGCAGUUGGGGAUGGCGUCCGGACGCGAGCGCUAAUACCGCAUCCUUUCAGAUGAGCCUAGGUCGGAGUAGCUAGUUGGUGGGGUAAGGGCCUACCAAGGCGACGAUCCGUACCUGGUCUGAGAGGAUGAUCAGUCACACUGGAACUGAGACACGGUCCAGACUCCUACGGGAGGCAGCAGUGGGGAAUAUUGGACAAUGGGCGAAAGCCUGAUGCAGCCAUGCCGCGUGUGUGAAGAAGGUCUUCGGAUUGUAAAGCACUUUAAGUUGGGAGGCGUUACCAACAGAAUAAGCACCGGCUAACUUCGUGCCAGCAGCCGCGGUAAUAC